UACAGAGGGUGCGAGCGUUAAUCGGAGUUACUGGGCGUAAAGGGCGCGUAGGCGGUCUUACAAGUGAGAUGUGAAAUCCCCGGGCUUAACCUGGGAACUGCAUCUUAAACUGUGAGGCUGGAGUACUGUAGAGGACAGUGGAAUUUCCGGUGUAGCGGUGAAAUGCGUAGAGAUCGGAAGGAACACCCGUGGCGAAGGCGACUGUCUGGACAGAUACUGACGCUGAGGCGCGAGAGCGUGGGGAGCAAACAGG
Molecule: ribosomal RNA, 253 nt
Filed under: uncultured bacterium
Lineage: Bacteria
Description: partial 16S ribosomal RNA
Rfam family: Bacterial small subunit ribosomal RNA
Source: RNAcentral